GACGAACGCUGACGGCGUGCUUAACGCAUGCAAGUCGAACGGAAAGGCCCUGCUUUUGUGGGGUGCUCGAGUGGCGAACGGGUGAGUAACACGUGAGUAACCUGCCCUUGACUUUGGGAUAACUUCAGGAAACUGGGGCUAAUACCGGAUAGGAGCUCCUGCUGCAUGGUGGGGGUUGGAAAGUUUCGGCGGUUGGGGAUGGACUCGCGGCUUAUCAGCUUGUUGGUGGGGUAGUGGCUUACCAAGGCUUUGACGGGUAGCCGGCCUGAGAGGGUGACCGGCCACAUUGGGACUGAGAUACGGCCCAGACUCCUACGGGAGGCAGCAGUGGGGAAUAUUGCACAAUGGGCGGAAGCCUGAUGCAGCAACGCCGCGUGCGGGAUGACGGCCUUCGGGUUGUAAACCGCUUUCGCCUGUGACGAAGCGUGAGUGACGGUAAUGGGUAAAGAAGCACCGGCUAACUACGUG
This 468-nucleotide ribosomal RNA is filed under the name uncultured bacterium. RNAcentral's name for it is "partial 16S ribosomal RNA". It matches the Rfam family "Bacterial small subunit ribosomal RNA", at positions 28 to 507 of the family's 1533-position model. The record is from RNAcentral.